GACGAACGCUGGCGGCGUGCUUAACACAUGCAAGUCGAACGGAAAGGCCUCUUUCGGGGGGUACUCGAGUGGCGAACGGGUGAGUAACACGUGAGUAACCUGCCCUUGACUUUGGGAUAACUUCAGGAAACUGGGGCUAAUACCGGAUAGGAGCUCCUGCUGCAUGGUGGGGGUUGGAAAGUUUCGGCGGUUGGGGAUGGACUCGCGGCUUAUCAGCUUGUUGGUGGGGUAGUGGCUUACCAAGGCUUUGACGGGUAGCCGGCCUGAGAGGGUGACCGGCCACAUUGGGACUGAGAUACGGCCCAGACUCCUACGUGAGGCAGCAGUGGGGAAUAUUGCACAAUGGGUGGAAGCCUGAUGCAGCAACGCCGUGGGCGGGAGGACGGCCUUCGGGUUGGAAACCGCUUUCGCUCAUGACGAAGCUUUGUGUGACGGUAGUGGGUAAAGAAGCACCGGCUAACUACGUG
This 467-nucleotide ribosomal RNA is filed under the name uncultured bacterium. Its description in RNAcentral is "partial 16S ribosomal RNA". It matches the Rfam family "Bacterial small subunit ribosomal RNA", at positions 28 to 507 of the family's 1533-position model. The record is from RNAcentral.